RNAcentral lists this small RNA (1013 nucleotides) under Pongo abelii (Sumatran orangutan). RNAcentral's name for it is "processed transcript". The record is from RNAcentral. Lineage: Eukaryota; Metazoa; Chordata; Mammalia; Primates; Hominidae.
CAGCCGGAAGUGGCUGCUGCUGCGGAGAAUUGGAGAUGGGGACCGCCCUGGACAUCAAGAUUAAAAGAGCGAAUAAAGUUUAUCACGCCGGGGUGACCGCAAAGGUCUAAUGAACGAAAGCUAAAACAAACCUUGGAAGCAGAAAUGGGAAGUGCUCUCUGGCGUGGUGGUCAUAUCGAGUAAGGAUUCAGUCCAGCACCAAGGAGUGUCUUUGACCAUGGAAGGAACUGUAAACCUCCAGCUCAGUGCCAAAAGUGUGGGUGUGUUCGAAGCUUUUUAUAAUUCUGUUAAGCCUAUCCAGAUUAUCAACAGCAACAUAGAAAUGGUGAAGCCAGGGAAGUUUCCCAGCGGCAAAACAGAAAUCCCUUUUGAAUUUCCUCUGCACGUGAAGGGUAACAAAGUUCUGUAUGAGACGUAUCAUGGCGUGUUUGUCAACAUUCAGUAUACACUGCGCUGUGACAUGAAGCGGUCUCUGUUGGCCAAGGACUUGACAAAGACCUGUGAAUUCAUCGUUCACUCCGCUCCUCAGAAGGGGAAGUUUAGUCCCAGUCCCGUGCACUUCACGAUUACACCUGAAACCUUACAGAAUGCCAGAGAGAGAGCUUUGCUUCCCAAAUUUCUCCUUCGAGGACAUCUCAACUCAACAAACUGUGUCAUCACACAGCCGCUAACGGGAGAGCUGGUGGUGGAGAGCUCGGAAGCCGCCAUCAGAAGCGUGGAGCUGCAGCUGGUGCGCGUGGAGACGUGCGGGUGUGCAGAAGGCUAUGCCCGCGACGCCACGGAGAUUCAGAACAUUCAGAUCGCCGACGGGGAUGUGUGCAGGGGCCUCUCUGUCCCCAUCUACAUGGUCUUCCCUAGGCUGUUCACUUGCCCUACACUGGAGACCACCAACUUCAAAGUGGAAUUUGAGGUGAACAUCGUGGUGCUUCUUCACCCCGACCACCUCAUCACGGAGAACUUCCCACUGAAGCUCUGCAGGAUAUAGCCCAGAGGAGGGAAGCACAGAAAACGGG